ACUUGCAAUUUUUGCUGCGAUUUUAGGUGCGAUUUUCUUCUUCUGAUGGACGUAAACGAGUGGAAGAAUUAUGAAUUUUGAGAUGAGGGUACAUAUACUCGAAAAUCGCACCUAAAAUCGCAGCAAAAAUUGCAAGU
Molecule: non-coding RNA, 137 nt
Organism: Paramuricea clavata
Lineage: Eukaryota; Metazoa; Cnidaria; Anthozoa; Malacalcyonacea; Plexauridae
Source: the annotation of a GenBank genome assembly